UUCUCAUGUGGUGACUACAAAUAAAAUUCGCUGUGGGUCCUUCAGGAUCUAAAUUCCUGCUAACAACCCUAAUUUAUUCAGAAUCGCCUUUUAAUAUAAAGAGCAUCCAUCAAUCCUGGAAUUGCUCAGGCUGGGUUCAGGUCUCAAUUCUGACAUUUAUUAGGGUCAGGCGACUCUGGGCAAAUGAAUGAGGACUUCUGGAUGUGACUCCUUUCACCGUGAGGAUGAGAAUGAUACCCUUAAAGCAGGAAACUGACAAGGGCUCGCCUGUACAGGGCCAAGGUCACAGCCGGCACGCGGUAGGGAUCAGUAUACAGCGGUUCCCUUCCAACACCGGAUCUUCUCCGUCGUAGACUGCCUGCCUCUGUCCUGUACCCCACCUCGGGUGGGCGCCUCUGAGGGCAGUGGAGGACCGUGCCGUGUCCGCUGAGGAGGAAGCUGAUGGGCCGCAGAGUGGGGCGUCUGGAGAGAUGGAGAAAGCAGGACGCCCCGCAAAAGCAGAGAUCCCAGAAAACUCAAAGGUUCACAAUGAGCAAGGCAAAAAAAAAUGCUGGGGAAUUUGAGCUGUGGCCCUCAAAACAAAGCCGCCAGGCUCAGCCUCUUUACCCUGGUGCUUUUCUACUCUGCGGCGUUUCUGAACUUCGGUGCCAUUGACCCGCGGGAGCUUCUGUUUCCUCAACCCGCAGAACCAGGCCAGCCCUGCACACCCACCCCGAGGGCUCCUGGCUUCUGAGGGACAGGGGAGAAACUGAAGCAAGCAAGCGGCUCAGAGCGCAGCCCAGCUGCAGAUUCCUUCCCUUCUACGCAUGUUCUGUGUUACACACUCGGCUGUCUUUGGCACAGGAAGUGCACACACAUUCCCAGGGGCCAAGGGUCGUGCAGAUGACACACUUUCCACAAGGCCUAGAGGAAUCCUGCUGGGGACAGACCUGAAAUCCCAGCGUGUAACCAAGCUGGGGCCUUCCUGCCAACUGGAUUCUUUGAUUUCUGAAGUCAGCUCAGCCACAGAAAUAAUGAGCAACACUAUUCACUGAUAAUGCGACUUUGUCCUCCACUGACACUAGAGAUUAUUCACCAAUACUAGAGAGAGAUUAAGAAUGAAGGAAAUGUUCCAAUAUGAAUGGUUGGCAGCACAAGGCAAUGAGCACCCGCCUCACCUAAAACGUCAGAAAUACAAACGCUCACUGGAGAUGACAGCGAGCAUCCAUCUGAACUGUGGCUCCUGGGAGAGAGGGGAGCAUCCAUCAUGAUAAAAAGGUGCCCACCUUGCAUCUCAGGGGCCCCCAUGUGUCUUACAGAAUAAAGACUGAAGGAUUCAAA
Molecule: non-coding RNA, 1320 nt
Organism: Heterocephalus glaber (naked mole-rat)
Lineage: Eukaryota; Metazoa; Chordata; Mammalia; Rodentia; Bathyergidae
Source: RefSeq, a predicted model, not a curated record